UACGUAGGGGGCAAGCGUUGUCCGGAGUCAUUGGGCGUAAAGAGCGCGUAGGCGGCCCUGUAAGUCCGCUGUGAAAGUCAAGGGCUCAACCCUUGGAUGCCGGUGGAUACUGCAGGGCUAGAGUCCGGAAGAGGCGAGUGGAAUUCCUGGUGUAGCGGUGAAAUGCGCAGAUAUCAGGAGGAACACCGGUGGCGAAGGCGGGACUCUGGGCCGAUACUGACGCUGAGGAGCGAAAGCGUGGGGAGCGAACAGG
RNAcentral lists this ribosomal RNA (253 nucleotides) under uncultured bacterium. RNAcentral's name for it is "partial 16S ribosomal RNA". It matches the Rfam family "Bacterial small subunit ribosomal RNA", at positions 524 to 776 of the family's 1533-position model. The record is from RNAcentral.